RNAcentral lists this ribosomal RNA (497 nucleotides) under uncultured bacterium. RNAcentral's name for it is "partial 16S ribosomal RNA". It matches the Rfam family "Bacterial small subunit ribosomal RNA", at positions 28 to 507 of the family's 1533-position model. The record is from RNAcentral.
GAUGAACGCUGGCGGCGUGCCUAAUACAUGCAAGUCGAGCGAACAGACGAGGAGCUUGCUCCUCUGACGUUAGCGGCGGACGGGUGAGUAACACGUGGAUAACCUACCUAUAAGACUGGGAUAACUUCGGGAAACCGGAGCUAAUACCGGAUAAUAUAUUUAACCGCAUGGUUCAAUAGUGAAAGACGGUUUUGCUGUCACUUAUAGAUGGAUCCGCGCCGCAUUAGCUAGUUGGUAAGGUAACGGCUUACCAAGGCAACGAUGCGUAGCCGACCUGAGAGGGUGAUCGGCCACACUGGAACUGGAACACGGUCCAGACUCCUACGGGAGGCAGCAGUAGGGAAUCUUCCGCAAUGGGCGAAAGCCUGACGGAGCAACGCCGCGUGAGUGAUGAAGGUCUUCGGAUCGUAAAACUCUGUUAUUAGGGAAGAACAAAUGUGUAAGUAACUAUGCACGUCUUGACGGUACCUAAUCAGAAAGCCACGGCUAACUACGUG